UGUUAAAAGUUUUAUCUAUUUGUACUGUUAAAAACUGACAUAUUGAUGGAAUAAUUAGAUAGUGACACAUGACAUGCCACGUAUACCUCAAGCUGAGGUAUAGUGACCAAUUUUUAACAAUAGAAAUUGAUGAAUUUUUAAUA
This is a non-coding RNA of Gossypium hirsutum (cotton), 143 nucleotides long. The record is from Rfam. Lineage: Eukaryota; Viridiplantae; Streptophyta; Magnoliopsida; Malvales; Malvaceae.